Molecule: ribosomal RNA, 437 nt
Filed under: uncultured bacterium
Lineage: Bacteria
Description: bacterial SSU rRNA
Rfam family: Bacterial small subunit ribosomal RNA
Source: RNAcentral
AACGCGAAGAACCUUACCAAGGCUUGACAUGGACCGGACCGCCGCAGAAAUGUGGUUUCUCCUUUUGGGGCCGGUUCACAGGUGGCGCAUGGUUGUCGUCAGCUCGUGUCGUGAGAUGUUGGGUUAAGUCCCGCAACGAGCGCAACCCUCGUUCCAUGUUGCCAGCACUUAGGGUGGGGACUCAUGGGAGACUGCCGGGGUCAACUCGGAGGAAGGUGGGGACGACGUCAAAUCAUCAUGCCCCUUAUGUCUUGGGCUUCACGCAUGCUACAAUGGCCGGUACAAAGGGUUGCGAUACUGUGAGGUGGAGCUAAUCCCAAAAAGCCGGUCUCAGUUCGGAUUGGGGUCUGCAACUCGACCCCAUGAAGUCGGAGCCGCUAGUAAUCGCAGAUCAGCAACGCUGCGGUGAAUACGUUCCCGGGCCUUGUACACACCGA